Molecule: unclassified non-coding RNA, 190 nt
Filed under: Glomeraceae sp.
Lineage: Eukaryota; Fungi; Glomeromycota; Glomeromycetes; Glomerales; Glomeraceae
Description: partial contains 5.8S ribosomal RNA and internal transcribed spacer 2
Rfam family: 5.8S ribosomal RNA (bases 1-71)
Source: RNAcentral
GUGAAUCAUCGAAUUUUUGAACGCAAAUUGCACUCUCUGGUAUUCCGGAGAGUAUGCCUGUUUGAGGGUCAUUAGAAUAAAAAAUCGAGGCUUCGCUCUUUUUUUUAUGGGAUAUGGCGUCGUAGUUGUGCGGUCUUUCAAAUUUCAAGACAUGUCAAAUUGGCUUAAAUUUCAUCCACCUGGUGCGAUU